RNAcentral lists this ribosomal RNA (554 nucleotides) under uncultured bacterium. RNAcentral describes it as "partial 16S ribosomal RNA". It matches the Rfam family "Bacterial small subunit ribosomal RNA", at positions 355 to 900 of the family's 1533-position model. The record is from RNAcentral.
UAGGGAAUCUUCCACAAUGGACGCAAGUCUGAUGGAGCAACGCCGCGUGAGUGAAGAAGGUUUUCGGACCGUAAAGCUCUGUUGUUGGUGAAGAAGGAUAGAGGUAGUAACUGGCCUUUAUUUGACGGUAAUCAACCAGAAAGUCACGGCUAACUACGUGCCAGCAGCCACGGUAAUACGUAGGUGGCAAGCGUUGUCCGGAUUUAUUGGGCGUAAAGCGAGCGCAGGCGGAAGAAUAAGUCUGAUGUGAAAGCCCUCGGCUUAACCGAGGAAUUGCAUCGGAAACUGUUUUCUUGAGUGCAGAAGAGGAGAGUAGAACUCCAUGUGUAGCGGUGGAAUGCGUAGAUAUAUGGAAGAAUACCAGUGGCGAAGGCGGCUCUCUGGUCUGCAACUGACGCUGAGGCUCGAAAGCAUGGGUAGCGAACAGGAUUAGAUACCCUGGUAGUCCAUGCCGUAAACGAUGAGUGCUAAGUGUUGGGAGGCUUCCGCCUCUCAGUGCUGCAGCUAACGCAUUAAGCACUCCGCCUGGGGGAGUACGACCGCAAGGUUGAAAC